This 637-nucleotide ribosomal RNA is filed under the name Agromyces sp. So3Pw_2790. Its description in RNAcentral is "bacterial SSU rRNA". It matches the Rfam family "Bacterial small subunit ribosomal RNA", at positions 380 to 1022 of the family's 1533-position model. Lineage: Bacteria; Bacillati; Actinomycetota; Actinomycetes; Micrococcales; Microbacteriaceae. The record is from RNAcentral.
AGCCUGAUGCAGCAACGCCGCGUGCGGGAUGACGGCCUUCGGGUUGUAAACCGCUUUUAGUAGGGAAGAAGGGCUUCGGCUUGACGGUACCUGCAGAAAAAGGACCGGCUAACUACGUGCCAGCAGCCGCGGUAAUACGUAGGGUCCGAGCGUUGUCCGGAAUUAUUGGGCGUAAAGAGCUCGUAGGCGGUUUGUCGCGUCUGCUGUGAAAUCUGGAGGCUCAACCUCCAGCCUGCAGUGGGUACGGGCAGACUAGAGUGCGGUAGGGGAGAAUGGAAUUCCUGGUGUAGCGGUGGAAUGCGCAGAUAUCAGGAGGAACACCGAUGGCGAAGGCAGUUCUCUGGGCCGUAACUGACGCUGAGGAGCGAAAGCGUGGGGAGCGAACAGGAUUAGAUACCCUGGUAGUCCACGCCGUAAACGUUGGGCGCUAGAUGUGGGGACCUUUCCACGGUUUCCGUGUCGUAGCUAACGCAUUAAGCGCCCCGCCUGGGGAGUACGGCCGCAAGGCUAAAACUCAAAGGAAUUGACGGGGGCCCGCACAAGCGGCGGAGCAUGCGGAUUAAUUCGAUGCAACGCGAAGAACCUUACCAAGGCUUGACAUAACCGAGAACGCCCUAGAAAUAGGGAACUCUUUGGA